RNAcentral lists this ribosomal RNA (253 nucleotides) under uncultured bacterium. RNAcentral describes it as "partial 16S ribosomal RNA". It matches the Rfam family "Bacterial small subunit ribosomal RNA", at positions 524 to 776 of the family's 1533-position model. The record is from RNAcentral.
UACGGAGGGUGCGAGCGUUGUCCGGAAUCAUUGGGCGUAAAGAGCGUGUAGGCGGCUUGGCAAGUCUGGUGUGAAAUCUUGCGGCUCAACCGCAAGCGGUCACUGGAAACUGCCUCGCUAGAGUCCGGAAGAGGAGAGCGGAAUUCCUGGUGUAGCGGUGGAAUGCGCAGAUAUCAGGAAGAACACCCGUGGCGAAGGCGGCUCUCUGGGACGGUACUGACGCUGAGACGCGAAAGCGUGGGGAGCGAACAGG